This is a non-coding RNA of Lupinus albus (white lupine), 146 nucleotides long. The record is from the annotation of a GenBank genome assembly. NCBI's taxonomy places the organism in Eukaryota, Viridiplantae, Streptophyta, Magnoliopsida, Fabales, Fabaceae.
ACACACUUCUUCACAGGUCUACACACCUGAAGAUCUCAUUAAUAUUAUAGACAAUGUUGUUAUAGAAGAACUCUGCAGUUAAGUAUGCUUGGCCGAGAGUAGUAAUAGGAUGAGUGACCUCCUGAGAAAACCUCGUGUUGUACCUC